Molecule: ribosomal RNA, 254 nt
Filed under: uncultured bacterium
Lineage: Bacteria
Description: partial 16S ribosomal RNA
Rfam family: Bacterial small subunit ribosomal RNA
Source: RNAcentral
UACGGAGGGGGCUAGCGUUGUUCGGAAUUACUGGGCGUAAAGGGCGCGUAGGCGGUCGUGACAAGUCACUUGUGAAAUCUCCGGGCUUAACUCGGAACGGUCAAGUGAUACUGUCGGACUAGAGUACAGAAGGGGCAACUGGAAUUCUCGGUGUAGCGGUGAAAUGCGUAGAUAUCGAGAGGAACACCUGCGGCGAAGGCGGGUUGCUGGGCUGAUACUGACGCUGAGGCGCGAAAGCCAGGGGAGCGAACAGG